CUUGAACCACGCGGUACUUCGGUAGUUCUUAUUCUUUAUUUUCAUAUUCACUGAACACCGGAAAAACCCUAGGAUGCUUUAUAAGAAUUUACCGUGUCCUUUGCCAAUAACAAAUGGGUCGCUUUUGGGAAUUUCUGACACUAGUUUAGCUUUAUAAAAAAACACCUUGGAUUUUUAUAAAGACUAUUUUUAGUGCCAGCUCAAACAUAAUAAGAUUACAUUUUAUUCUAUUUUUAUCGCCACGCAAAUAGGUUUAUAUAAGAAUGAUAUUUGAUAGGCGUAUUAACAUUAAAUCUAGAUGUAGAGUAUGUGUAAGUGUAAGCAUUCUAGGAUUUAAAUCUAUUCAUUAAAUUGUGUUCGUAAAUGUUUUUGGUGACAACCCUUUCAAACAUUGGACACAACCCAACCCUUUAUCUCAUAAGUGGUUUAGUUUACGGCAAUACGCACCAUGAAAUGCACGGCUAUAUAAUAAUAUACACCCGGAGGCCCUGUACACUUCUUCACCCUUAGGCAAAAUCUUUCGAUUGAUUACUGGUAUCCAUGGGAGAGAGACAUACACACAGACACACAGAUUCGAAAGGUUUUUUUCUUCUUCGAAUAAGAAAGAAAAAAAAGCCCGAAUUGAAAGUGUGCCUUAACGGUAUAGAUCAGUAAAUGAUUCGCUAUGACGACAAGAGCCUUGAUACGCCACUAGAGUUGAUGUUCCUGAAAUGAAUUCGCUAUGACGACAAGAGUCUCGAUACGCCACUAGAGUUGAUGUUCCUGAAAUGAAUUCGCUAUGACGACAAGAGCCUUGAUACGCCACUAGAGUUGCUGUUCCUGAAAUGAAUUCGCUAUGAAGACAAGAGCCUUGAUACGCCACUAGAGUUGCUGUUCCUGAAAUGAAUUCGCUAUGAAGACAAGACCCUUGAUACGCCACUAGAGUUGCUGUUCCUGCACACUUUUGAAAUAAAUGAUUUGUAUCGCUGUUUUGCAUUAAAAUGUCUUUU
This is a long non-coding RNA of Physella acuta, 989 nucleotides long. RefSeq lists it as uncharacterized. The record is from RefSeq and is a predicted model, not a curated record. NCBI's taxonomy places the organism in Eukaryota, Metazoa, Mollusca, Gastropoda, Physidae.